CAUGCAAGUCGUACGAGAAAGAAGUCUUCGGACUUCGAGUACAGUGGCGAACGGGUGAGUAGUACGUGAAUAAUCUACCUUCGAGAGGGGGAUAACCCCGGGAAACUGGGACUAAUACCGCGUAUGCUCACAGCUCCGCAUGGAACAGUGAGGAAAGGUGACCUCUGCUUGCAAGUUACCGCUCGAAGAUGAGUUCACGCCCCAUUAGCUAGUUGGUGAGGUGAUGGCUCACCAAGGCGAAGAUGGGUAGCCGGCCUUAGCGGGUGGUCGGCCACACUGGGACUGAGACACGGCCCAGACUCCUACGGGAGGCAGCAGUCUGGAAUUUUCCGCAAUGGGCGAAAGCCUGACGGAGCGAUGCCGCGUGGGGGAUGAAGGCCCUUGGGUCGUAAACCCCUGUCAAGAGGGAAGAAAGGGUUCGGGCUAAUAUCCUGGAACCCCUGACGGUACCUCUGGAGGAAGCCAUGGCUAACUCUGUGCCAGCAGCCGCGGUAAUACAGAGAUGGCGAGCGUUGUCCGGAAUUACUGGGUGUAAAGGGCAGGUAGGCGGUGGAGCAAGUCAAAUGUGAAAUCCAGUGGCUCAACCACUGGGCUGCAUUUGAAACUGCACCACUCGAGUCCGGGAGA
Molecule: ribosomal RNA, 627 nt
Filed under: uncultured bacterium
Lineage: Bacteria
Description: bacterial SSU rRNA
Rfam family: Bacterial small subunit ribosomal RNA
Source: RNAcentral